This 66-nucleotide transfer RNA is filed under the name uncultured Frisingicoccus sp. It matches the Rfam family "tRNA". Rfam says of the family: Transfer RNA (tRNA) molecules are approximately 80 nucleotides in length. Their secondary structure includes four short double-helical elements and three loops (D, anti-codon, and T loops). Lineage: Bacteria; Bacillati; Bacillota; Clostridia; Lachnospirales; Lachnospiraceae. The record is from RNAcentral.
CAGAUAGCUCAGUCGGUAGAGCAGAGGACUGAAAAUCCUCGUGUCGCUGGUUCGAUUCCGGCUCUG